GUACACAGAUCCUAAACUAGAGUAGUCAAUCCCAUCUUGACACACACACCGACAAGUCAAGUACUUGACUACACCCAGCAGCCUUCCAUCACUGAAUUAGAAAUUCAGGUAGUCCAGUGCCUAAGUGCAGUGAGUUGCUUGUAAGUCACCAUGGCGGUCUCAGGUCGGAGGGACAUUUAUACCCAUAUUCCAUCGGAGCAAAUCUUGACAGCAGAAAUAGCUCCAGAGUCGGUCACAUUCAGUGCAGAUGUACCCUUACAUCUCACCUGUAUGCCAUACCAGUGUCUCCACACUC
Molecule: long non-coding RNA, 295 nt
Filed under: Elaeis guineensis (African oil palm)
Lineage: Eukaryota; Viridiplantae; Streptophyta; Magnoliopsida; Arecales; Arecaceae
Description: long non-coding RNA (EGUI_LNC041521)
Source: RNAcentral